This 327-nucleotide ribosomal RNA is filed under the name uncultured Cortinarius. RNAcentral's name for it is "eukaryotic LSU rRNA". The stretch from base 1 to 71 matches the Rfam family "5.8S ribosomal RNA", at positions 84 to 154 of the family's 154-position model. Lineage: Eukaryota; Fungi; Basidiomycota; Agaricomycetes; Agaricales; Cortinariaceae. The record is from RNAcentral.
GUGAGUCAUCGAAUCUUUGAACGCACCUUGCGCUCCUUGGUAUUCCGAGGAGCAUGCCUGUUUGAGUGUCAUUAAUAUAUAUAUCAACCCCCCUCUUGUUGAGCGGGUUGGAUGUGGAGGUUUUUGCUGGCCGCUUAAAAAAGGGUUCAGCUCCUCUGAAAUACAUUAGCGGGACAAGCCUGUCCAUUCAUUGGUGUGAUAAAUAUCUACGCUGUUGAAUGUGAGGCAGUUCAGCUUUCCAACAGUCCUUUGGACAACCUAUCAUUUUAUGUGACCUCAAAUCAGGUAGGACUACCCGCUGAACUUAAGCAUAUCAAUAAGCGGAGG